CAGUCGCCGCGGGAAUACAGAGGGUGCGAGCGUUAAUCGGAUUUACUGGGCGUAAAGCGUGCGUAGGCGGCUUCUUAAGUCGGAUGUGAAAUCCCUGAGCUUAACUUAGGAAUUGCAUCGAUACUGGGAAGCUAGAGUAUGGGAGAGGAUGGUAGAAUUCCAGGUGUAGCGGUGAAAUGCGUAGAGAUCUGGAGGAAUACCGAUGGCGAAGGCAGCCAUCUGGCCUAAUACUGACGCUGAGGUACGAAAGCAUGGGGAGCAAACAGGAUUAGAUACCCCUGUAGUCCCUGUCUCUUAUACA
This 301-nucleotide ribosomal RNA is filed under the name uncultured bacterium. RNAcentral describes it as "partial 16S ribosomal RNA". It matches the Rfam family "Bacterial small subunit ribosomal RNA", at positions 509 to 808 of the family's 1533-position model. The record is from RNAcentral.